Macrostomum lignano is the source of this 77-nucleotide non-coding RNA. NCBI's taxonomy places the organism in Eukaryota, Metazoa, Platyhelminthes, Macrostomidae. The record is from Rfam.
CUAGGCGGUCCGGAGUCGAUGGGUUAACAAACUUACUCAAACGAAUUAUACCCCAUCGACACUCACUUGACAGCCGA